AAAUAAAACAAACCCUAGAAAAAAUCCCACCUCUUCCACCUUCUUCUUCACAACCGCCGCGCACACCCCCCCCCCAUUAAAUUAGCUGAAGGAAAUGAUUUUCCGUCCAACCUCUCCCUCCCUCCGGUGACUUUUUUCGGCAACGACCAGUCCUCCACGAACAAGCAGAUGCGGCGACGCUCCAUCAGAACCCGACCCCAGCAGCGGCAGUGUUUUGUGUCGGUUGUACCAACGGCGGCGAUACCUGUACACCUCGACGCCCAGACCUGCGAACGGUCGCCCUUUGGGUGAAGCUUCCUAGGCGGUUAAAGGUGAUUUCGACGACGCAACAUCAGAUUUUGGUGGUUCUACUGUGCUUCGCGGUGGAUCUGGCAUUUCCCGGUGGACGGCAGCAACGUACACUACCUCCCACGACGGCAGCAACGUCCCCGUCACCUAGACCGUGCACAGUAGCGUCGGUAGUGCAUCUCCAUUGCUGGAUCUCGUGGACAGCGGCAUUUCGGUGGUUUUCACCACUUACCUACACCCGUUCGAAGCCCGUUUUGCAAUACCUGCCCCCUUCGACAUUGGCCGACUCUUAACCAAAGUAGUUUUAGUGUGAGUUAUUAGGUAACGACUCAUCUAAAUUGGAUUUAAAGUUAAUUAAAUUUAAUUCUAACCCAAGUUUGGUUGUUCUUGGUUUAGGACCCCGGCGGCGAGCUUAGUAGCGCAUUAGGGACGUGAUAUUAAGUAGUUUCUUACUUGAGGGGAUUGGAUUUUGUUUGUUGAUAUAAAUUGAUUGUUUUCUUUGUUGUCUAUAUGUGUUAUUCGCAUGAUUGCUUGUGGUUGAUGUUAUCCUCUGAAAGUCAUUGUCGAUAUGAUUUUAGAUCGUUGCUAUGUUUGGUUGGACUAUGUUAAGGAUACUGUGUUAAUUGUUACGGUUUGGUGCCUGACCAUGUCUUCAGUUAAUUGGUCAAAUUGGUAAUGCAUGGGUACGCUGAACUUGUUGUGGAGUUCUUGUGUAGUUGUAUUCAUAAAAGUAUUUUGGGAACACUUGUGAGGAGUUUGCUAUGUUAAAUCAUACUGGACAUAUGUUGGGUAUAAUUUUUGAUUACUUGGGAAUUGUGGAUGCGUUGAGCUUCUUGGACAGCCUCUAUGAAGCUCCAUACCAAGAAUUUUCUUGGCUUGACCCAAGUCCUUCAUCUCAAAUUCACUUCUAAGUUCAUAUUUUAUCUUCUCAAUCUCGCUUUUAUCUUUAGAAGCUAUCAAGAUGCCAUCAACAUAGAGAAGGAGUAGAACAAGGACAUCACUAGUAAUAACUUUCUUAUAUAUACAACAAUCAUAAUAAUUUUUCUUGAUUCCCUUUACUAUAUACAAAAGGAAAGUGAGUGGGGAUGAAAAAAAAAAAGUGUGUUUAUUUGCUAUAUUUUAGGGAAUAUGAAAUAGGAAUAGGAAGAAGAAUAGGAAGGUUUCUAUUUUUUCCAUGUUCAUUUAGUUAAAUUCUACCUUAUGAGAGUUGUCUAAUUGUUAGACUAACAAAGUUAGAUACUAUAUUUAGAUAUUUGCUCUGAAGCGUGUAUCGGUAAAGCGUUUUUUGAGUUCAAUUAUUUGUCUGGAUUGAUAUGUAACUUAUUCAUUACAGUGUAUUAUUUAUAUGUUAUAUUCACAGUGCCCAAAACAACCAAAUGCAGUAGAAUGUGGUACUAUGUCAUGUGGUUCAUGCGUGACAUAGUCUUCGCUUGUAACACAACAAUCCUAGAAUGCGUACGUAUAUAGCAUAGUGUUAAUGUUUGAAAAUAUAUAUUCUCAAAUUGCAUUGUUUUGACUUUGAUAUAAAUAUGUAUAGAUGAAAGGGGCACCGUAGUGUUACACACAGGAGCACUUGGAUGUGAUUAGGAGGGAGUUGGCAGAGUUCAUACUCUCACACAUAUAUAUUUUUCGUAGUAUAUGUACUAUCUUGUUUUUUGGCUUCCCCGUUCAAGCAACUCAUUGUCGUUUUGUUGGCCACCACAUGUUGGAGAUUGAAAAUUUGUUGAGUGAAAGAUUUGAUCGAAUACUUUUGGGCAAUACCCUUGGCAUGAACCACAUAUACUAUAAUGGUCUAUUGAGCAUGUGGGAGCGARGGUUGAAGGAAGCAGGGUCGAGCAUUUCUGUAAUAUGUUAGCUACAUUUUGUAGUUUGACCUUUCACAUUUACACGAUCUUCCAAGAAGAGUCUGGAGAACCAUGGCGGGUAGCUACUUGGAAUAUUUAAAAGAUGACUGUUGGGCCAUUUUUUGUUGGGUUAGUAGUUACUUGGUAUAGUUUGUUUAUGUACGGGGUUGAUGGACAUGAAAAACCUUCAUUGAUGUAUAUAUAAUUUACUAUAUGUAUACACUUUAUAUUUGUAGG
Momordica charantia (bitter melon) is the source of this 2369-nucleotide long non-coding RNA. RefSeq lists it as uncharacterized. The record is from RefSeq and is a predicted model, not a curated record. Lineage: Eukaryota; Viridiplantae; Streptophyta; Magnoliopsida; Cucurbitales; Cucurbitaceae.